Molecule: long non-coding RNA, 852 nt
Filed under: Pan paniscus (pygmy chimpanzee)
Lineage: Eukaryota; Metazoa; Chordata; Mammalia; Primates; Hominidae
Description: lncRNA (ENSPPAG00000045607.1)
Source: RNAcentral
UUUUUAUUUUCAAACAAUCCACUUUAAAACUCUGCCGCUUACAAAAUAUUUGGAAGGGCUAGAUGUACAAGCUUCAGACUGAGGCUCCAGAGUUAACCCAGAAUAAUCAACAGAAAAUUUAGUUACUAGGUGACAUUAUCAGGCAGGUGGAACUUUGGGAGGCCAUAGCUAUUAGUGUUGACUGCAGGGAUUCCAUCACUUCUAUGAGAUAUAGCUACCUCCAUAAAAUCUAUUUUGUGACAUUCGUGAUGAAUCACGACCCUACUAUGAACACUGCUAUUAUUGCCAGAAGCAACAGUCAAAACAACAGAAAUGUGGAUUCUGACUUAUUUCUGCAUUCCACAUCAUACAGGAGGGCAUCUGAUUGACACAAGGAUCAGGUCCCCAAGCUAACUUCUGGAGGAAAUCUGAAUGCCUAGAGAGAAUGUUAACUGUCACUGACAUCUGAAAAUACUUUGAGGAGGAGUUGAUAUUUAAGCGAAUCAUGGAAAAAAAAUUUCUAAAGUUUGGCUGCUGUGUGAGGAGUAAGUUCUUCCCAGAGAAAGGAAGCCACUCGAGAAAAGACUGUGUGAAAUACAAGACAUUUUGAGAAGAAAGAAUGACAUGUUGGAGCCUAGGUGAUUUGAUGUUCCUUUUCACUGUCUUUGAGAAAUGAUAAAUGAUGAUUCCAGUGGCAGUAGUACACAUGUGAUUAUGUGUGUGAAUCUGUGUCAUACUAGCUGAGCGUGUACUUGAUCCUACAUAUAGCCAUUUAUACUUCAUUUCAUGUACAGAUGAAAUAACAAGGCAGCCUACAUUCCUACAGAUACAUGAAUUCCUCUAGCAUUUCCCUACCUGAAUAGGUGGUGUAUA